RNAcentral lists this non-coding RNA (159 nucleotides) under uncultured Faecousia sp. RNAcentral's name for it is "Lysine riboswitch". It matches the Rfam family "Lysine riboswitch aptamer", at positions 11 to 172 of the family's 182-position model. Rfam says of the family: Riboswitches are metabolite binding domains within certain messenger RNAs that serve as precision sensors for their corresponding targets. Lineage: Bacteria; Bacillati; Bacillota; Clostridia; Eubacteriales; Oscillospiraceae. The record is from RNAcentral.
UACGGCUGAGGUUGCGGAAAUCAUCAGUACCGGUUCGGUCAGGCAAUUGCCGAAUCAGGGAAAGGGACUUUCGCCGAAGGUUAUAUCUGAUGCCAAACGGGUAUUUCCUGGGGCCGCGAAGAAUAUGCCCGGAACUGUCCUCCUGCUGGAUGUUGUGCU